GAUGAACGCUGGCGGCGUGCCUAAUACAUGCAAGUCGAGCGAACAGACGAGGAGCUUGCUCCUCUGACGUUAGCGGCGGACGGGUGAGUAACACGUGGAUAACCUACCUAUAAGACUGGGAUAACUUCGGGAGACCGGAGCUGAUAACGGAUAAUAUAUUGAACCGCAUGGAUCAGUAGUGAAAGACGGUUUUGCUGUCACUUAUAGAUGGAUCCGCGCCGCAUUAGCUAGUUGGUAAGGUAACGGCUUACCAAGGCGACGAUGCGUAGCCGACCUGAGAGGGUGAUCGGCCACACUGGAACUGAGACACGGUCCAGACUCCUACGGGAGGCAGCAGUAGGGAAUCUUCCGCAAUGGGCGAAAGCCUGACCGAGCCACGCCGCGUGAGUGAAGAAGGUCUUCGGAUUGUAAAACCCUGUUAUUAGGGAAGAACAAAUGUGUAAGUAACUAUGCACGUCUUGACGGUACCUAAUCAGAAAGCCACGGCUAACUACGUG
Molecule: ribosomal RNA, 497 nt
Filed under: uncultured bacterium
Lineage: Bacteria
Description: partial 16S ribosomal RNA
Rfam family: Bacterial small subunit ribosomal RNA
Source: RNAcentral